CAAUAGAUUUUUAAGUCCC
Molecule: unclassified non-coding RNA, 19 nt
Filed under: Dictyostelium discoideum
Lineage: Eukaryota; Evosea; Eumycetozoa; Dictyosteliales; Dictyosteliaceae
Source: RNAcentral